UUUCACUGAAACAAGGGAAACCAUUAGCAGCAGUAAGGAAUUUUAUGUAAUAUACGAAAGUAAGACAUAGUUAGGACAUUUGUAUCUGUCAAAUUAAGUGCCAGCAGACGCGGUGAAACUUAAGGAUUUGUUUUUUAGAAAAAGCAGAAAGCGUGUAAAGGUAAAAAAAUAUUUAAAAUAAAUAGAAUUUUUUUAGUAAUAGUGAAAUGUUAUUAUAAGGAAAAGAAUUCUUUAUGUGAAAAUAAUUUAUUUUUUUUUUCUUAAGCACGAGGGUUUUGGGAGUAAACAGGAUUAGAGACCCUGGUAAUCAAUACAGUAAAAAAAAAUCGCUUGAGUAGUACGGUCGCAAGAUUAAAAUUCAAAAAAUUUGGCUGUUCAUUGUUAUUUAGAGGAGUGUGUCGUUUAAUUCGAUAAUCCGCGAAUUACCUUACCAAGACUUGGUUUUCCGGUGUUGCAUGGCCGUCGUCAAUUUAUGUUUGAUACAAUAAAUUAAAUCCUAGAAAGGUUGAAGUCAGGUAUUAUUGCCCUUAUGUUUUGGGAUUAGAUGCGCUACAUUUUUUUAAUAAAAAAAAAAGAGUUCGGAUUGUUUUUUAAAUAGAGCAAUUAAGGUGAAUUUAAUAGUAAUUGAAAAGUAGAGCGUUUCAAUGAAUUUAAAACAAUGUUAGUACAAAUUGCCCGUCGCCUUUGCUGAGGUAAACAAAGCAGAGUAAGUCGUAACA
This 719-nucleotide ribosomal RNA is filed under the name Coscinaraea sp. COS. RNAcentral's name for it is "partial 12S small subunit ribosomal RNA". It matches the Rfam family "Bacterial small subunit ribosomal RNA", at positions 314 to 1493 of the family's 1533-position model. Lineage: Eukaryota; Metazoa; Cnidaria; Anthozoa; Scleractinia; Coscinaraeidae. The record is from RNAcentral.